UACGUAGGUGGCAAGCGUUAUCCGGAAUUAUUGGGCGUAAAGCGCGCGUAGGCGGUUUCUUAAGUCUGAUGUGAAAGCCCCCGGCUCAACCGGGGAGGGUCAUUGGAAACUGGGGAACUUGAGUACAGAAGAGGAGAGUGGAAUUCCAUGUGUAGCGGUGAAAUGCGCAGAGAUAUGGAGGAACACCAGUGGCGAAGGCGGCUCUCUGGUCUGAAACUGACGCUGAGGUGCGAAAGCGUGGGGAUCAAACAAG
RNAcentral lists this ribosomal RNA (253 nucleotides) under uncultured bacterium. RNAcentral describes it as "partial 16S ribosomal RNA". It matches the Rfam family "Bacterial small subunit ribosomal RNA", at positions 524 to 776 of the family's 1533-position model. The record is from RNAcentral.